This 253-nucleotide ribosomal RNA is filed under the name uncultured bacterium. RNAcentral describes it as "partial 16S ribosomal RNA". It matches the Rfam family "Bacterial small subunit ribosomal RNA", at positions 524 to 776 of the family's 1533-position model. The record is from RNAcentral.
UACGGAGGGUGCAAGCGUUAUCCGGAUUUACUGGGCUUAAAGGGUGUGUAGGCGGAUUAUUAAGUCAGCGGUGAAAUCUCCGGGCUCAACCCGGAAACUGCCAUUGAUACUAUUAGUCUUGAAUAUUGUUGAGGUGGGCGGAACGGGUCAUGUAGCGGUGAAAUGCAUAGAUAUGACCCGGAACACCGAUUGCGAAGGCAGCCCACUAAGCAAUGAUUGACGCUGAGGCACGAAAGCGUGGGGAUCAAACAGG